UAUUUUUAUAGUGUAUCAAACACAUAACAUUUUCAUUGUUAAAAAGCUUCUGCUAAAAAUAU
RNAcentral lists this transfer RNA (62 nucleotides) under Alectorobius capensis. Its description in RNAcentral is "Ornithodoros capensis tRNA-Glu". Lineage: Eukaryota; Metazoa; Arthropoda; Arachnida; Ixodida; Argasidae. The record is from RNAcentral.